RNAcentral lists this ribosomal RNA (593 nucleotides) under uncultured fungus. RNAcentral's name for it is "eukaryotic LSU rRNA". The stretch from base 228 to 381 matches the Rfam family "5.8S ribosomal RNA". The record is from RNAcentral. Lineage: Eukaryota; Fungi.
UUGGUCAUUUAGAGGAAGUAAAAGUCGUAACAAGGUUUCCGUAGGUGAACCUGCGGAAGGAUCAUUAAUGGUGCUUGCAGAAAUGCUUGCACGGCGGCGGCCUUAAAACGCGCCAAAUGGCACCCUUUGUUUACGAGUACCGUUCGUUUCCUCGGUGGGCUUGCCUGCCAUGAGGACCAACAAAAACCUUUUGUAGUAGCAGUAUCUUCAGUAAAAACAAAUAUUAAAACUUUCAACAACGGAUCUCUUGGUUCUGGCAUCGAUGAAGAACGCAGCGAAAUGCGAUAAGUAGUGUGAAUUGCAGAAUUCAGUGAAUCAUCGAAUCUUUGAACGCACAUUGCGCCCUUCGGUAUUCCGUUGGGCAUGCCUGUUCGAGCGUCAUUUAAUCAUUCAAGCUCUGCUUGGUGUUGGGUGUUUGUUCCGCCUCAGCGCGUGGAUUCGCCUUAAAUUCAUUGGCAGCCGGUAUGUUGGCUUCGUGCGCAGCACAUUGCGUCGCGAUUCUGGCAGGCCUCCCCCCAUUAAGCUUCUUUUAAGUUUGACCUCGGAUCAGGUAGGGAUACCCGCUGAACUUAAGCAUAUCAAUAAGCGGAGGA